This 292-nucleotide ribosomal RNA is filed under the name uncultured bacterium. RNAcentral describes it as "partial 16S ribosomal RNA". It matches the Rfam family "Bacterial small subunit ribosomal RNA", at positions 505 to 796 of the family's 1533-position model. The record is from RNAcentral.
GUGUCAGCCGCCGCGGUAAGACAGAGGGGGCAAGCGUUGCUCGGAAUCACUGGGCGUAAAGGGCGCGUAGGCGGGAUGGCAAGUCGGUCGUGAAAUCCUUCGGCUCAACCGAAGAACGUCGGCCGAUACUGCUGUUCUUGAGGGAUGCAGAGGAGACUGGAAUUCCCGGUGUAGCGGUGAAAUGUGUAGAGAUCGGGAGGAACACCGGUGGCGAAGGCGGGUCUCUGGGCAUUUCCUGACGCUGAGGCGCGAAAGCGUGGGGAGCAAACGGGAUUAGAUACCCUUGUAGUCC